AAGACCUUGCACUUUUGGAGCGGCCGGUGUCUGAUUAGCUAGUUGGUGGGGUAAAGGCCUACCAAAGCUUCGAUCAGUAGUUGGUCUGAGAGGACGGCCAGCCACACUGGGACUGAGACACGGCCCAGACUCCUACGGGAGGCAGCAGUGGGGAAUUUUGGACAAUGGGCGCAAGCCUGAUCCAGCCAUGCCGCGUGAGUGAAGAAGGCCUUCGGGUUGUAAAGCUCUUUCAGCCGGGAAGAAAAGGUUGCGACUAAUAAUCGCAAUCCAUGACGGUARCGAKAGAAGAAGCACCGGCUAACUACGUGCCAGCAGCCGCGGUAAUACGUAGGGUGCGAGCGUUAAUCGGAAUUACUGGGCGUAAAGGGUGCGCAGGCGGUUUUGUAAGUCAGAUGUGAAAUCCCCGGGCUUAACCUGGGAACU
Molecule: ribosomal RNA, 423 nt
Filed under: uncultured bacterium
Lineage: Bacteria
Description: bacterial SSU rRNA
Rfam family: Bacterial small subunit ribosomal RNA
Source: RNAcentral